Canis lupus familiaris (dog) is the source of this 303-nucleotide long non-coding RNA. RefSeq lists it as uncharacterized. Lineage: Eukaryota; Metazoa; Chordata; Mammalia; Carnivora; Canidae. The record is from RefSeq and is a predicted model, not a curated record. The transcript has 3 exons.
ACCCUGCACCACCUGUUCCUGGAAGCUUAAGAGUCACCCUCUGUCUUGGGCUUUUUAGGAGAAACUUGCAUGACAGAUUUACUCUGAAGAGGAUGUCCAGUACUGUGAGUACAUAAACAGACCAAAAAGGAAAGAAGCCACAAAAAUAGGAGAUAGAAGCCAAACCUCUGUCUUCAACCUCUAGAAGAACAAAAGAAUGAUCUGGGAACACAUUAGAAAUGCAGAUUCUCAGGCCUCGUGCUAGAUCUACAGAAUCCAAAUUUGGAGAUGGAGUUCAACAUGGUCUGUAUCAAGCACUCCAGG